RNAcentral lists this long non-coding RNA (1250 nucleotides) under Equus caballus (horse). RNAcentral's name for it is "lncRNA (ENSECAG00000055440.1)". The record is from RNAcentral. Lineage: Eukaryota; Metazoa; Chordata; Mammalia; Perissodactyla; Equidae.
CAAUGGUGACCCAGCUUUGCCUUAUGGAUUCCCAGAGGAAUGAAUUUCUGGCCUCAAGGAUGUCAGGGGAUUCUGGGAUGCUUGAAGAUUACAGUACCCCUCAGGCGAAAGACCUGCAGUAUGCACCUGCCAAUCACGCUUCCGCCAUAACUCUCCCAAACCAUGGGCUCUGACUGGUCUGGGGUGACCUUCAGCAAGGACCCCCUUCCUCUUUACUCCCGGACAUCCACUGUUCCAAAAAGGCACAAGGAAAGAAACGUGGAAGAGCAAAACAAGUCCUUUUAUAUCCAGGAUUGGUGCCUGGCUUCUCUGGCUCAUUGAGUUCUUUUCCUGGUUUAUUUCCUGGUUCCUCUUAAUCUUUGAGAAUGUACUUCUUGGGCAGCCAUUUAAAGGAAAAGACUGUGACUGUGGUGUCUCUCCACCACCCUGCUUUCUCAAGCCUAGGAGUCUUAGGAAUGAUAAUAAAAAGGGACCCUGUCCGUCUGAGAAGGGGGCAGAAGCAGCAGGAAGUGGAGCAGGCAGCGCUGAGACAGAUCCCUUUUGCUGUGAGCAACAUUGGUCAGCACGAUAAUUGGGAGCAGAAUGCCAGCUGCCUCAGCAGCCAUGCCAGACGGGAGAGCAAACACCGAAAUCCUGUUGGCAAACCCAGCAGGGCCGUCGCAACAUGGCCAAAGCAAAUAGGGGCUGAGGCCGGCCCACUGCAAUGGACUCUCACUUCCCCCUUGGAUCCGGCAGAGAGAGAGACUGAGCCAGCUAAGCCCACGUAUAGGGAAUCAAGUAGCCAUGGGGAUGCUCAUACCCAUCCCUGGGCUGGGGUCCGAGCUGGACCCUUGCUCUCCUUGCCAUGGUCUUUCAUUUGGCACAGACUGAGGAGAGUCUGAUAAUGAUACAGCAUUUUCACGGCUAUUCCUUUGUUUAUUCUUCAGCAGUCCUGUGAGAUCAGUAUUAUCCCCAUCUUCCAGAUGAGAAAACUGAGGCCAGGGGAGAUCAAAGACACAGAGCCAGGACUUAGUCUCGGGGCCUCUGCCUCACUGUCUGCUGCACUUCUCAUUCCCUCCCCCCAUGUCAAUUCCCACAGUCCCUUCCUGGCAGAGCUCCCACAGUCUAAAGGGGACUUGAGUUCUUUCCAUUUCAUAGCUGAGAAGCAGAGGCUCAAAGGUGGGUUGGGGGGGGGUAUUUUUGUUUUUAGACCAAGACACAGCAGUUGACAUCCGUGAUUCUGUCUGCCACACCCACCAGCACAACCGGAG